RNAcentral lists this ribosomal RNA (470 nucleotides) under uncultured Cellulomonas sp. RNAcentral describes it as "bacterial SSU rRNA". It matches the Rfam family "Bacterial small subunit ribosomal RNA", at positions 910 to 1382 of the family's 1533-position model. Lineage: Bacteria; Bacillati; Actinomycetota; Actinomycetes; Micrococcales; Cellulomonadaceae. The record is from RNAcentral.
UUGACGGGGCCCGCACAAGCGGCGGAGCAUGCGGAUUAAUUCGAUGCAACGCGAAGAACCUUACCAAGGCUUGACAUACACCGGUAACGCCCAGAGAUGGUGCCCCUUUGUGGUCGGUGGACAGGUGGUGCAUGGUUGUCGUCAGCUCGUGUCGUGAGAUGUUGGGUUAAGUCCCGCAACGAGCGCAACCCUCGUCCUAUGUUGCCAGCGGGUCAUGCCGGGGACUCAUGGGAGACUGCCGGGGUCAACUCGGAGGAAGGUGGGGAUGACGUCAAAUCAUCAUGCCCCUUAUGUCUUGGGCUUCACGCAUGCUACAAUGGCCGGUACAAAGGGCUGCGAUACCGCGAGGUGGAGCGAAUCCCAGAAAGCCGGUCUCAGUUCGGAUUGGGGUCUGCAACUCGACCCCAUGAAGUCGGAGUCGCUAGUAAUCGCAGAUCAGCAACGCUGCGGUGAAUACGUUCCCGGGCCUU